RNAcentral lists this ribosomal RNA (429 nucleotides) under uncultured bacterium. RNAcentral's name for it is "bacterial SSU rRNA". It matches the Rfam family "Bacterial small subunit ribosomal RNA", at positions 355 to 775 of the family's 1533-position model. The record is from RNAcentral.
UGGGGAAUAUUGGGCAAUGGGCGAAAGCCUGACCCAGCCACGCCGCGUGAGUGAUGAAGGCCUUCGGGUCGUAAAGCUCUGUGGGGAGGGACGAAUAAGCUUGUGGCUAAUAUCCACGAGCCCUGACGGUACCUCCUUAGCAAGCACCGGCUAACCAUGUGCCAGCAGCCGCGGUAAUACAUGGGGUGCAAACGUUGCUCGGAAUUAUUGGGCGUAAAGCGCACGUAGGCGGUUUGUUAAGUCGGAUGUGAAAUCCCUCGGCUCAACUGAGGAAGUGCAUCCGAAACUGGCAGGCUUGAGUACUAAAGAGGGUCGCGGAAUUCCCGGUGUAGAGGUGAAAUUCGUAGAUAUCGGGAGGAACACCGGUGGCGAAGGCGGCGACCUGGGUAGAUACUGACGCUGAGGUGCGAAAGCGUGGGGAGCAAACAG